Molecule: ribosomal RNA, 497 nt
Filed under: uncultured bacterium
Lineage: Bacteria
Description: partial 16S ribosomal RNA
Rfam family: Bacterial small subunit ribosomal RNA
Source: RNAcentral
GACGAACGCUGGCGGCGUGCCUAAUACAUGCAAGUCGAGCGGUGAAGGUUGGUACUUGUACCGACUGGGUGAGCAGCGAACGGGUGAGUAACGCGUGUGGAAUCUGCCUUUGAGCGGGGGAAAACAUGGGAAAACGAAUGCUAAUACCGCAUAAAAACUUUAAACACAAGGUUUAAGGGUGAAAGAUGCAAUUGCAUCACUCAAAGAUGAUCCCGCGUUGUAUUAGCUAGUUGGUGAGGUAAAGGCUCACCGAGGCGAUGAUACAUAGCCGACCUGAGCGGGUGAGCGGCCACACUGGGAGUGAGACCCGGCCCAAACUCCUACGGGAUGCAGCCGUACGGCAUCGUGGGGCAUCGGUGAAAGUCUGUCCGCGAAGGGCGGAGGGAGUGUAGAAGAUUUUCGGGUCGUAGAUCUCUGUCGGUAGAGAAGAACGCGCGUGCGAGUGGAAAGAACAUCGAGUGACGGUAACGAGUAAGAAAGCAACGGCUAACUACGUG